GUCCACGCCGUAAACGAUGGAUACUAGCUGUUGGGCGCAAGUUCAGUGGCUAAGCGAAAGUGAUAAGUAUCCCACCUGGGGAGUACGUUCGCAAGAAUGAAACUCAAAGGAAUUGACGGGGCCCGCACAAGCGGUGGAGCAUGUGGUUUAAUUCGAUGAUACGCGAGGAACCUUACCAAGGCUUAAAUGUAGAUUGACCGUUUUUGGAAACAGAACUUUCGCAAGACAAUUUACAAGGUGCUGCAUGGUUGUCGU
This 255-nucleotide ribosomal RNA is filed under the name uncultured bacterium. Its description in RNAcentral is "partial 16S ribosomal RNA". It matches the Rfam family "Bacterial small subunit ribosomal RNA", at positions 793 to 1055 of the family's 1533-position model. The record is from RNAcentral.